UACGGGGGGGGGCAAGCGUUGUUCGGAAUUACUGGGCGUAAAGGGCUCGUAGGCGGCCAACUAAGUCAUACGUGAAAUCCCUCGGCUUAACCGGGGAACUGCGUCUGAUACUGGAUGGCUUGAGAUUGGGAGAGGGAUGCGGAAUUCCAGGUGUAGCGGUGAAAUGCGUAGAUAUCUGGAGGAACACCGGUGGCGAAGGCGGCAUCCUGGACCAACACUGACGCUGAGGAGCGAAAGCCAGGGGAGCAAAGCGGG
This 255-nucleotide ribosomal RNA is filed under the name uncultured bacterium. Its description in RNAcentral is "partial 16S ribosomal RNA". It matches the Rfam family "Bacterial small subunit ribosomal RNA", at positions 524 to 777 of the family's 1533-position model. The record is from RNAcentral.